GCGUGAGUGAAGAAGGCCUUCGGGUUGUAAAGCUCUUUUGGCGGGGACGAUGAUGACGGUACCCGCAGAAUAAGCCCCGGCUAACUUCGUGCCAGCAGCCGCGGUAAGACGAAGGGGGCGAGCGUUGUUCGGAAUCACUGGGCGUAAAGGGCGCGUAGGCGGCGCGAUAAGUCAGGCGUGAAAGCCCCAGGCUCAACUUGGGAAAUGCGCUUGGAACUGUCGUGCUAGAGAGCGGGAGAGGAUGGUGGAAUUCCCAGUGUAGAGGUGAAAUUCGU
RNAcentral lists this ribosomal RNA (275 nucleotides) under uncultured bacterium. RNAcentral's name for it is "partial 16S ribosomal RNA". It matches the Rfam family "Bacterial small subunit ribosomal RNA", at positions 399 to 691 of the family's 1533-position model. The record is from RNAcentral.